RNAcentral lists this long non-coding RNA (584 nucleotides) under Homo sapiens (human). RNAcentral describes it as "HSALNT0191959". The record is from RNAcentral. Lineage: Eukaryota; Metazoa; Chordata; Mammalia; Primates; Hominidae.
GGAGGAGCCAAGAUGGCCGAAUAGGAACAGUGCUGUCUACAGCUCCCAGCGUGAGUGACGCAGAAGACAGGUGAUUUCUGCAUUUCCAUCUGAGUCAGAGUGACUCUACACACUUCCUGCUUCCACGUUUAGCAUCCCCAAGUGAAGAGAUAUGAAGAGUGUUCAAAAGAUGCUACAAAAUGAGAGGAGGAGAACCAGUGUGAGCUUUUAUUAUUCUGCCAGGGAAAUGUCCUGGGCAUCCUGUUAAUUGAAAUGGACAACUUCCUAGGCUCAAAAAAUCUGUCAGGUGGACUUGUUGCAGCAACAUAAUGUUAACCACAGGCACAGAUGACAUGAGUCACAUUCGCAACAUGCUGCUGGUUAAACUGAUUUAGGGAGAUAAAAAAUAAAUGUUGGAAAAUAAGCUGAUGAUCACAGAAACAUACAUUAAAAAACUUCUAAUUCAUACUGAUGAAGAACAUCCUUAGUAUUGUACUUCAUUUGCAUUCAAGGUCACAAAAGCUGUUAAUACAGAGAUCAGGGAAAAAGACAGGAGUCUUCCAAAUAAUUUAUGUUGGAUUUGAAAUGUCAGAUCCUGUAUCAAC